UUCCUAUGUCAGAAAAUAGCCAAGGCCUAUUGACCUUAUUCCUAUGUGUUUCUGGAUCAAUCAAUACAAUUUCUGAAUCCUUAAAAUGUACAUUUUGGUGUCUUGAAGUUUCCUAUGACCUAUAGGCCUAGGGAAAUGCAUUCAUUUUGCAAUGUAUUAGCCUAUUUCUUAGGUCUAUAGAAUAUUUACUACACAAGUGAAAUAUCAACAUCAGUCAUGUCGAUUGUAUAGGAUUCCAGCGCCUUGACAGAUGCACACACACCACUGUGGUGACACGUCCCCUAUAUGACUAUCUCUGUCCCCACGUUGUGAUUCCCCUCCCCCACUCCACUUUACCGCGCAGAGCCAGAGAGGGAAAAUCACUUUCAUCUGGAGAAGCUCGUCCGGUAACACGGGGCGGCCCAUCUGCAGGUCCCCGCUGUUCCUAAAAGAAAGAUUAAGGAUUUGAGUUGGCCUGACGGAGAGAUCUUCCAGGCGACUCCGGCCCAUGGAGGAUGCAGAGCAUCACAUCAGAUCAAACAUUGAUAAACCAGUACUUUACCAGCGUUUUAUCAAUAUCUUUAAAGGACGGGGAGUUUUUGCCACUGAAUUCAUAUCCAAAGGAGACUUUGUUGUGGAGUACCGAGGUGAACUGCUUACACAACAGGAGGGCGAGGUCCGAGCUGAUCAGUACAAUGAUUCUGCAAAGGUGUUUCUUUUCGAUUUCCAAUGGAAAGGAAGAACAUGGUGCAUUGAUGCAUCUGAAGAAGACUCCUCCCUUGGGAGACUCGUUAAUGAUGAUCACUAAAGACUCAAUCUCAAAAUGAAGGCCAUACAAGCAAACGAUGAGCCACACUUGUGCCUCUUCGCGACUCGAGAUAUUGCAGCUGGCGAAGAGUUGACUUAUAGUUACGGUGAUUCAGACUGGCCAUGGAGAACACAGGUCAUCAAAACUGAUGUGUCGUCCAGCCCAAAACCU
This is a long non-coding RNA of Salvelinus namaycush (lake trout), 958 nucleotides long. RefSeq lists it as uncharacterized. The record is from RefSeq and is a predicted model, not a curated record. Lineage: Eukaryota; Metazoa; Chordata; Actinopteri; Salmoniformes; Salmonidae. The transcript has 5 exons.